RNAcentral lists this ribosomal RNA (478 nucleotides) under uncultured bacterium. RNAcentral describes it as "bacterial SSU rRNA". It matches the Rfam family "Bacterial small subunit ribosomal RNA", at positions 28 to 509 of the family's 1533-position model. The record is from RNAcentral.
GACGAACGCUGGCGGCGUGCUUAACACAUGCAAGUCGAACGGACCGAGUUGAUAGCUUGCUAUUGAUGAGGUUAGUGGCAAACGGGUGAGUAACGCGUAGGCAACCUGCCCUUCAGAUGGGGACAACACCUCGAAAGGGGUGCUAAUACCGAAUGACGUUUCCUGGUCGCAUGACCUGGAAACCAAAGGCCGGGCAACCGGGUCACUGAAGGAUGGGCCUGCGUCUGAUUAGCUAGUUGGUGGGGUAACGGCCACCAAGGCGACGAUCAGUAGCCGGUCUGAGAGGAUGAACGGCCACAUUGGGACUGAGACACGGCCCAAACUCCUACGGGAGGCAGCAGUGGGGAAUAUUGGACAAUGGGGGAAACCCUGAUCCAGCGACGCCGCGUGAGUGAAGAAGUAUUUCGGUAUGUAAAAGCUCUAUCAGCAGGGAAGAUAAUGACGGUACCUGACUAGAAGCACCGGCUAAAUACGUGCC